CGACCCCAGCUCAGGUGAGAACACCCGUUGAGUUUAAGCAUAUAAUUAAGUGGAGGAAAAGAAACUUACAAGGAUUCCCCUAGUAACGACGAGCGAACCGGGAAGAGCCCAACAUGAAAAUCGGGUGGCAGUGUCGCCUGAAUUGUAGUCUGUAGAAGCAUACUUAGUGGUGGACCGGGCCCAAGUCCCCUGGAAGGGGGUGCCUGAGAGGGUGAUAGCCCCGUCGGGUCGGGACCCUUCUGCACCACGAGGCAUUGUCAGCGAGUCGGGUUGUUUGGGAAUGCAACCCUAAUCAGGUGGUAAAUUCUGUCCAAGGAUAAAUAUAGGCCAGAGACUGAUAGCGAACAAGUACCAUGAGGGAAAUAUGAAAAGGAAUUUGAAAAGAGAGUUAAAGAGUGCUUGAAAUUACUGGGAGGGAAGCGGAUGGAGGCCUAUGAUGCAUCUCGGUCGGAUACAGAAUGGCUCAAGCUGGUCCGCCGCUCGACUCAAGGUGAAAACCAGCACAGGUCGUUGCAUCGGCACAAGUGCAUGUGGAGUACUGCCUGUUGGUUUGUCGUUGUGGUAGUUGAGGAACGAAGCGUGCGCCCUUGGGGCGGGCCACUGUGCACCUGCAUGCUUGUGGUGUUGGUUGGCAGGAUUUCCAUUUGACCUGUCUUGAAACACGGACCAAGGAGUCUAACAUGUGUGCGAGUCGGUGGGUUUGUAAACCUGCGAGACAUAAGGAAGCUGACAGGUGAGAACCCCUUUCCAUGGGGUGCAUUGUCGACUGACCUUGAGCUUGUGCGAAGGGUUUGAGUGUGAGCACACCUGUUGGGACCCGAAAGAUGGUGAACUAUGCCUGAGUAGGGCGAAGCCAGAGGAAACUCUGGUGGAGGCCCGUAGCAAUACUGACAUGCAAAUUGUUCAUAUCACUUGGGUAUAGGGGCGAAAGACUCAUUGAACCAUCUAGUAGCUGGUUUCCUCUGAAUUUUCCCUCAGGAUAGAUGGAGCUCACGUGUGAGUUUUAUCGGGUAAAGAAAAUGAUUAGAGGCAUCGGGGGCGUAACGCCCUCGACCUAUUCUCAAACUUUAAAUAGGUAAGACGGUGCGGCUGCUCCAUUGAGCCAUGCCAUGGAAUCGAAAGCUCACAGAGGACCAUUUUUGGUAAGAGGAACUGGCGAUGCGGGCUGAACUGAAAGUCAAGUUACAGUGACAAAAUGCGUGCUAACCCGGAUCCAACAAAGGGUGUUGUUUGAUUAAGACAAUAGGACGGUGGUCAUGGAAGUCGAAAUCUGCUAAGGAGUGUGUAACAAUUUACUUGCCAAAUCAACUAGCCCCGAAACUGGAUGGCGCUGAAGCGCGCGACCUAUACUUGACCGUCGGAGCAAUUGCCAGGCUUUGAUGAGUAGGAGGACUCGGGGGUCAUUGAGAAACCUUGGGCAUGAGCCUGGGUGGACUAGUCCCUAGUGCAGAUCUUGGUGGUAGUAGAAAAUAUUCAAAUGAGAACUUUGAAGACUGAAGUGGGGAAAGGUUCCAUGUGAACAACACUUGGACAUGGGUUAGUCGAUCCUAAG
This is a non-coding RNA of Picea glauca (white spruce), 1552 nucleotides long. The record is from Rfam. NCBI's taxonomy places the organism in Eukaryota, Viridiplantae, Streptophyta, Pinopsida, Pinales, Pinaceae.